RNAcentral lists this ribosomal RNA (253 nucleotides) under uncultured bacterium. Its description in RNAcentral is "partial 16S ribosomal RNA". It matches the Rfam family "Bacterial small subunit ribosomal RNA", at positions 524 to 776 of the family's 1533-position model. The record is from RNAcentral.
UACGUAGGGUGCGAGCGUUAAUCGGAAUUACUGGGCGUAAAGGGUGCGCAGGCGGUUUUGUAAGCCAGAUGUGAAAUCCCCGGGCUUAACCUGGGAAUGGCAUUUGGGACUGCAAGGCUGGAGUGCGGCAGAGGAGACUGGAAUUCCUGGUGUAGCAGUGAAAUGCGUAGAUAUGCGGAGGAACACCGAUGGCGAAGGCAAUCCCCUGGGCCUGCACUGACGCUCAUGCACGAAAGCGUGGGGAGCAAACAGG